AAGGAAGAUUGAGUAGCCAUCAGAAAGGAGGAACUAGAUGUAUUCCAGUGAGAGACGUUACCAGGAGGAAGAAACUAUAAAGUUCAUGGUACUCAAGGGGGUCUCUGACCAAAAAAGGAUUAAGAAGAAUUGAGGCAAAAGGCACACAACAAGACAUUCUCCAGAUCACCUGGCAUCUAGCUGGGGCCACAAGGUUUUUUUCUGCCAACGGAAUAUGUGCAGAAGUGAUGUAUAUGACCUCAGAGCCCAGCCUCUAAAUAUCCUGUGUCAUGCUCCACAUUCUGUCCAUUCAUCUCUCAGUUAACUAAAUAGAAGUGAUGCAAGGGAGGACUCCAAGGAAGCCCUAGGGAUCAUGAAGCUACAGAAUGGGAGAAUUGCUGUCACCACAGUUCUGGAAGAAGAAUUGUUCAGGAGAACAGCCAUUGGACUAUGGCAUGCCAAAGAAAUCUCUGUUGUGAAACCACAAUUAAAAGUUGUUCUUCCUGCCUCUGCUUCUUGACCAACCCCUGAGUGGCCCUGUAUAGUGUUCUCCCUAGGAAACUGCAAGCAAGAUGAUAAUUUGAUUUUUGAGUUAACCUGAUGAGUUUUUGUAGCUGUCAAGAGCUCUUAAAUUGAGCCAAUGAAAGCAAAAUUCAAUAGAAGAAAGCAAAAAAAUGAAGAAGACAGCAUUAAAGGAAAAGAUCAAGCUUUCUAGAAUCAUACUGGCUAUUAAUAAUGCCUUUGGCUUUGGGAUUGGGAAUUUUUGAUGUGACCAAACAGCCAUUUAUGUUCUCAGAAAACUGGAAUAGGAAUAUCCUAUGGUGGAAGAAAAGAAUGGACCAUGAUGAAAAUUUCUACACCAGAAGAGUUUAAAGAUGAAGAAAGCACCACAGAAGCAGUUCAUGUCUCACUAAGGCUAGACACUGAUGGAUCUAACGUCUCUCUUUGGAAUUUAUUGGCAUUUAACACCUAUUAUCGUCAACUCUGGAGUCCUCAGCUAAACUCUAAGAGAACAGGCAAGGAGAAGGGGAAAAUAAUGUGACUACCUCUGGCCAAAGCACUGAAUUCCACUUCAAGACCCACCUUUUCCCUCAGCUACAAUGACUGGCACUGUUUUAUAAAGUGGUUGUUUUAUCAGCCUGGGAUCUGGCACAAGGACAGUGAUGAUCAGAGGCCCAGCUGAGCCUCAAGCACACAUAACAUGCAUUUUCAACUCCAAGCCCCUGAGAUUUGGGAGCUGCCUAUUAAGAAGCGUAACCUAUUCCAUCCUGACUAUUUCACAGAGGGAACAGUUAAAAGAAUAAUGAGAUAUUAUUUCAAAUAAGGAAAUUAUGGAGAAGUUUAAAUGACAGGCAAACAUAUUUGAAGUUUAUUAAAUAAAAAGUCAGUAGGAAAUUAUUGAAGCUUUGUGAAGAGGGAAAGCAAUUAGUCAAUGGAGAGUUUUAAAAUCAGUGUGGUCACAGCAGUAGGACAAAUUAAAGAAGGAAAGAACAGAGAUAUGAAGACUAACUAGUUAACAGUCCAUUGCAAAAUCCCAGUGAAAAAUGGUAAGCUCUCUGAACAGAGAAUGAUUGAAAAUUGAAGAAGAGAGAGGGAACAGUGAGAAAUGAAUCUAGCAUUUCAAGCCUGAGUACCUGGGAGAAAUGUAGGACUAUAAAUAACAGAUAUAGAAUAGCGCAAUUAAGAGGACUGUCUAUUUCUGUUGAUAAUAGUAUCAUUUUCUUAAAUUUGUUUUGACAAAAAUUAUUUUAGAUAUGUCAGGUUUGGGGUGACAGACAGUGAGUCAGAUAUGUUGAUGUAUCCAACAGGAAAGCAGAGAUAUGGAAAUACAGAAAAGUUCAAAAGUCAGUGGUAAAGAAUUGGACCUGGUAGCCAUCUGCGUACGGGCUGGCUUGGGUAGUUGUCUAGAAGUGGUGAUGUUAUCCAAGAUAGAAACUGCACAAUGAGAAACAGUUGCGGGGUUGUAUCCAUCAGGGUUUAGUGUAGAAAACAGAAUUUACAGAUGAGGAACUGCUCUUUCCACCCUGCAGUAAGGGCACUGCUGCCAACAUCACAUCUGGGGCAUUCAGAGCGCCUGAUGCCAGAAGUUUUGUCUGCUGGAGCUGCUUUUCUGCCCACAGCACUAUAAAAAAGAAUCACCUCCGUUUUCCAAAUAGUUCGUGAGUGCAUUUCAUUGGCACAACCUUAAUCACAUCCAGGACCCUAGCCACAAAAUGUCUUUAAAACAUAGUGUUUAGACUAAUAGCCCCUAUAAUAUUAUGUUAAUGGUGGAAGAGUGUAGGAACAUACAAAGGAGAUACAAAUGGAUGCUGAUUGCAAGUAGACAAUGCAAAGUCCCCAUGGGACAUCAAAGUAGAGAAAUCUAACAUCCCUUAGGUAAAUUAAAAAUGAAAUUCUGGGACCUUAGAGAAAGAUGGGGAAAUAUCAACAUUUAGAUCAGGGGUGUCCAAUUUUUUGACUUCCCUGGGCCACUUUGAAAAAAUUGUCUUGGACCACACAUAAACUACGCUAACACUAACAAUAGCUGAUGAGCUAAAAAAAAAAAUCACAAAAAAAGUCUUAUAAUGUUUUAAGAAAGUUUACGAAUUUGUAUUGGGCAGCAUUCAAAGCCAUCCUGGGCCGCAUGCACCCCACAGGUCGUGGGUUGGACAAACUUCACUUAGAUGAUAAGUUGAAGCCGUGGAACUAAUUGAGAUUGUUUAGAGAGAGGAUUUAGAUCAUUUGAGGUGUUAAAUCCCCAUCCUGGUGACCACAGUGUUUAAAAAGAAAGCCUAUGUUUAAAAGGCAGGAAGAAAAAGCUGCAUCAAGGGAAAUUUGCUCCAUAUCAGGCUUUAGUAGCCCAUUUCUGACAAGGAAUUUCCUAAUACUGUACUUAAAAUACCGUAGAUUAACCCUAUGUAGUGAAUUAAAAGAAGAACAUGUGAAGGUGUAUGUGGUUUGAAACAGGAAGAACUGAAUGGAGCUGAUAACCAGUUAGAAUUAACCAGUUAAAAUAUAGUAAUGUAUACAAUUUCCCAGUGUGAAUGUAAAUAUGCCAUGCAUGUUACCUGAAAAUUAAUAUUAAGCUCUGAUAAGAUUCUUAUUUCUAAAAGUUGACACUGUUGUAUUGCCUUUAAAUUUGAAGGUGAGGUAUAAAAUUAAAACCUAUACUAUUUUUUCAUAGUUUUCCACUUGGACCAAUUUCACAACUAAAUUGUUUUUUGAAAAAGUACUUUUUAAAUGAGCACUUAUUCUGUUCAAACAGUAUUAGGCAUUAUGUGGGAUCCAAAGAUAAGACAUUGUCCCUCCUGUCAAAUGCACCAAAAUUGAUUAAAUUAAGAUGUAACUUGGGGUCAUGCUUAUUGCUAGAGCAAUUUUUUCAUUUUUCCUUCUUAUUUUCAGAGAGAAUAAAGUCUCCUUCUACUGAGGUAAUAGCUACCACAAAGAUUUUAUAACUUAAACUGUUUUGUAAUAAUUUUUAUUUCUCUAUAAUUUGGGUCUAAUGAGACUGCAAUUUUAUUUUACAUUUUAUCCUUUUUUGUUAAGUAUAUUCUUCCUAUUACUUUAAUAAAAAAACAAAAUGAAGUUUUUAACAUUGUUAAGAAGUGUCUGCUUGAUUCUUCUGUUAGUUCAAAUCUAAAUCUGUUCAUAAGCUUUAUGAAAUUACAUGUAACAAAAUACAUUAUCUACACAUAGACAAAUAU
This 3662-nucleotide long non-coding RNA is filed under the name Homo sapiens (human). Its description in RNAcentral is "long intergenic non-protein coding RNA 1030". Lineage: Eukaryota; Metazoa; Chordata; Mammalia; Primates; Hominidae. The record is from RNAcentral.